GGGUAUAUAGCUCAGUGGUUGAGUACCUUCUUAGCGUGCAUGAAGUCCUGGGUUCAAUCCCCAGUUCCUCCA
RNAcentral lists this transfer RNA (72 nucleotides) under Camelus dromedarius (Arabian camel). It matches the Rfam family "tRNA". From Rfam's summary of the family: Transfer RNA (tRNA) molecules are approximately 80 nucleotides in length. Their secondary structure includes four short double-helical elements and three loops (D, anti-codon, and T loops). Further hydrogen bonds mediate the characteristic L-shaped molecular structure. tRNAs have two regions of fundamental functional importance: the anti-codon, which is responsible for specific mRNA codon recognition, and the 3' end, to which the tRNAs corresponding amino acid is attached (by aminoacyl-tRNA synthetases). tRNAs cope with the degeneracy of the genetic code in two manners: having more than one tRNA (with a specific anti-codon) for a particular amino acid; and 'wobble' base-pairing, i.e. permitting non-standard base-pairing at the 3rd anti-codon position. Lineage: Eukaryota; Metazoa; Chordata; Mammalia; Artiodactyla; Camelidae. RNAcentral also lists the same sequence under 1 other name. The record is from Rfam by way of RNAcentral.